RNAcentral lists this ribosomal RNA (418 nucleotides) under uncultured Enterobacter sp. Its description in RNAcentral is "bacterial SSU rRNA". It matches the Rfam family "Bacterial small subunit ribosomal RNA", at positions 110 to 524 of the family's 1533-position model. Lineage: Bacteria; Pseudomonadati; Pseudomonadota; Gammaproteobacteria; Enterobacterales; Enterobacteriaceae. The record is from RNAcentral.
GUAAUGUCUGGGAAACCGCCUGAUGGAGGGGGAUAACUACUGGAAACGGUAGCUAAUACCGCAUAACGUCGCAAGACCAAAGAGGGGGACCUUCGGGCCUCUUGCCAUCAGAUGUGCCCAGAUGGGAUUAGCUAGUAGGUGGGGUAAUGGCUCACCUAGGCGACGAUCCCUAGCUGGUCUGAGAGGAUGACCAGCCACACUGGAACUGAGACACGGUCCAGACUCCUACGGGAGGCAGCAGUGGGGAAUAUUGCACAAUGGGCGCAAGCCUGAUGCAGCCAUGCCGCGUGUAUGAGGAAGGCCUUCGGGUUGUAAAGUACUUUCAGCGGGGAGGAAGGCAAUGCGGUUAAUAACCGCGUCGAUUGACGUUACCCGCAGAAGAAGCACCGGCUAACUCCGUGCCAGCAGCCGCGGUAAU